This 420-nucleotide ribosomal RNA is filed under the name uncultured bacterium. RNAcentral describes it as "bacterial SSU rRNA". It matches the Rfam family "Bacterial small subunit ribosomal RNA", at positions 361 to 773 of the family's 1533-position model. The record is from RNAcentral.
AUAUUGGACAAUGGGCGCAAGCCUGAUCCAGCCAUGCCGCGUGUGUGAAGAAGGCCUUCGGGUUGUAAAGCACUUUUGUCCGGAAAGAAAAGCUCUCGGUUAAUACCCGGGGGUCCUGACGGUACUGGAAGAAUCAGCACCGGCUAACUUCGUGCCAGCAGCUGCGGUAAGACGAAGGGUGCAAGCGUUACUCGGAAUUACUGGGCGUAAAGCGUGCGUAGGUGGUUUGUUAAGUCUGAUGGGAAAGCCCUGGGCUCAACCUGGGAAUGGCAUUGGAUACUGGCGAGCUAGAGUGCGGUAGAGGGUAGUGGAAUUCCCGGUGUAGCAGUGAAAUGCGUAGAGAUCGGGAGGAACAUCUGUGGCGAAGGCGACUACCUGGACCAGCACUGACACUGAGGCACGAAAGCGUGGGGAGCAAAC